UGAGGAGAUUUUCUGGGAGGCGUGAAUCUCAUCUGCAAGAAGAUGAAUCCACUGUGGUUCUUCCUCUUUCUGCUGUCAGCUCCCAGAGGUGUCCUGUCCCAGGUGCAGCUGCAGGAGUCGGGGCCCAGCCUGGUGAAGCCCUCGCAGACCCUCUCCCUCACCUGCACGGUCUCCGGAUUCUCAAUUACCAGCAAUGCUGUAUGCUGGGUCCGCCAGGCUCCAGGAAAGGGGCUGGAGUGUCUUGGUGCUAUGGCUAGCGGUGGAAGCGCAUAUUAUAACUCAGCCCUGAAGUCCCGGCUCAGCAUCACCAGGGACACCUCCAAGAGCCAAGUCUCCAUGUCACUGAGCAGCGUGACCCCCGAGGACACGGCCGUCUAUUUCUGUGCAAGAUGCACAGUGAUGCGAAGUCCCUGUGAGCCCAGACACAAACCUCCCUGCACCAGAGCUCAUCCCCAGCAGGGGGUGCUCAGGACCCACUGA
Hippopotamus amphibius kiboko is the source of this 480-nucleotide non-coding RNA. Lineage: Eukaryota; Metazoa; Chordata; Mammalia; Artiodactyla; Hippopotamidae. The record is from the annotation of a RefSeq genome assembly.